GACGAACGCUGGCGGCGUGCUUAACACAUGCAAGUCGAACGGAAAGGCCCUGCUUUUGUGGGGUGCUCGAGUGGCGAACGGGUGAGUAACACGUGAGUAACCUGCCCUUUACUUUGGGAUAACUUCAGGAAACUGGGGCUAAUACCUGAUAGGAGCUCCUGCUGCAUGGUGGGGGUUGGAAAGUUUCGGCGGUUGGGGAUGGACUCGCGGCUUAUCAGCUUGUUGGUGGGGUAGUGGCUUACCAAGGCUUUGACGGGUAGCCGGCCUGAGAGGAUGACCGGGAAAAUGGGAAAUGAGACAGGGACAAGAGGACUAAGGGAGGCAGCAGAGGGGAAGAGGGGACAAUGGGGGGAAGUAUGAUACAGUGAGGGGGAGUGGGUGAAGAAGGUCUGCGGAGUGGAAAGAAAGUGAAGGGGGGAGGAAGGGCAGUAAGUUAAGACCUGGAGGGUGGGACGGUACUAAGAGAAGAAGCACCGGAUAACUUCGCG
Molecule: ribosomal RNA, 488 nt
Filed under: uncultured bacterium
Lineage: Bacteria
Description: partial 16S ribosomal RNA
Rfam family: Bacterial small subunit ribosomal RNA (bases 18-368)
Source: RNAcentral